CUUGGCUAAGGUAUCUUGGCUAAGGUGUCUUGGCUAAUGUGUCUCGGCUAAUGUGUCUCGGCUAAGGUGUCUUGGCUAAGGUGUCUAAGCUAAGGUGUCUUGGCUAAUGUGUUUUGGCUAAGGUGUCUUGGCUAAUGUGUCUUGGCUAAUGUGUCUUGGCUAAUGUGUCUUGGCUAAGGUGUCUAAGCUAAGGUGUCUUGGCUAAGGUGUCUUGGCUAAUGUGUCUUGGCUAAGGUGUCUAAGCUAAGGUGUCUUGGUUUAUGUGUUUUUUCUACGGUGUCUUGGCUAAGGUGUCUUGGCUAAGGUGUCUUGGCUAAUGUGUCUUGGCUAAGGUGUCUAAGCUAAGGUGUCUUGGUUAAUGUGUUUUUUCUACGGUGUCUUGGCUUAUGUGUUUUGGCUAAGGUGUCUUGGCUAAUGUGUCUUGGCUAAGGUGUCUUGGCUAAGGUAUCUUGGCUAAGCUGUCUUGGCUAAUGUGUCUCGGCUAAGGUGUCUUGGCUAAGGUGUCUUGGCUAAUGUGUCUUGGCUAAGGUGUCUUGGCUAAGGUGUCUUGGCUAAGGUGUCUUGGCUAAGGAGUCUUGGCUAAUGUGUCUUGGCUAAUGUGUCUUGGCUAAGGUGUCUUGGCAAUGGUGUCUUGGCUAAGGUGUCUUGGCUAAGGUGUCUUGGCUAAUGUGUCUUGGCUAAGGUGUCUUGGCUAAGGUGUCUUGGCUAAGGUGUCUUGGCUAAGGAGUCUUGGCUAAGGUGUCUUGGCUAAGGUGUCUUGGCUAAGGUGUCUUGGCUAAGGUGUCUUGGCUAAGGUGUCUUGGCUAAGGUGUCUCGGCUAAGGUGUCUUGGCUAAUGUGUCUUGGCUAAGGUGUCUUGGCUAAUGUGUCUCGGCUAAGGUGUCUUGGCUAAUGUGUCUUGGCUAAGGUGUCUUGGCUAAGGUGUCUUGGCUAAGGUGUCUCGGCUAAAGUGUCUUGGCUAAGGUGUCUUGGCUAAGGUGUUUUGCCUUAUGUGUCUUGGCUAAGGUGUCUUGGCUAAGGUGUCUUGGCUAAUGUGUCUUGGCUAAUGUGUCUUGGCUAAUGUGUCUUGGCUAAGGUGUCUAAGCUAAGGUGUCUUGGCUAAGGUGUCUUGGCUAAUGUGUCUUGGCUAAUGUGUCUCGGCUAAGGUGUCUUGGCUAAGGUGUCUUGGCUAAUGUGUCUCGGCUAAGGUGUCUUGGCUAAGGUGUCUUGGCUAAUGUGUCUCGGCUAAUGUGUCUUGGCUAAGGUGUUUUGCCUUAUGUGUCUUGGCUAAGGUGUCUUGGCUAAGGUGUCUUGGCUAAGGUGUCUUGGCUAAGGUGUCUUGGCUAAUGUGUCUCGGCUAAGGUGUCUUGGCUAAUGUGUCUUGGCUAAGGUGUCUUGGCUAAGGUGUCUUGGCUAAGGUGUCUUGGCUAAGGUGUCUUGGCUAAUGUGUCUCGGCUAAGGUGUCUUGGCUAAGGUGUCUUGGCUAAGGUGUCUUGGCUAAUGUGUCUUGGCUAAGGUGUCUAAGCUAAGGUGUCUUGGUUUAUGUGUUUUUUCUACGGUGUCUUGGCUUAUGUGUCUUGGCUAAGGUGUCUUGGCUAAGGUGUCUUGGCUAAUGUGUCUUGGCUAAAGUGUCUUGGCUAAGGUGUCUUGGCUAAUGUGUCUCGGCUAAGGUGUCUUGGCUAAGGUGUCUUGGCUAAUGUGUCUUGGCUAAUGUGUCUCGGCUAAUGCGUCUCGGCUAUGGUGUCUUGGCUAAUGUGUCUUGGCUAAUGUGUCUUGGCUAAGGUGUCUAAGCUAAGGUGUCUCGGCUAAUGUGUCUUGGCUAAUGUGUCUUGGCUAAGGUGUCUUGGCUAAUGUGUCUUGGCUAAGGUGUCUUGGCUAAUGUUUCUUGGCUAAGGUGUCUUGGCUAAUGUGUCUUGGCUAAUGUGUCUUGGCUAAUGUGUCUUGGCUAAGGUGUCUUGGCUAAUGUGUCUUGGCUAAGGUGUCUUGGCUUAUGUGUCUUGGCUAAUGUGUCUUGGCUAAGGUGUCUUGGCUAAGGUGUCUUGGCUAAUGUGUCUUGGCUAAUAUGUCUUGGCUAAGGUGUCUUGGCUAAUGUGUCUUGGCUAAGGUGUCUUGGCUAAGGUGACCUGGCUAAGGUGACCUGACUCAGGUGUCUUGGCUAAGGUGUCUUGGCUAAUGUGUCUUGGCUAAUGUGUCUUGGCUAACGUGUCUCGGCUAAUGUGUCUCGGCUAAUGUGGCUCGGCUAAUGUGUCUUGGCUAAUGUGUCUUGGCUAAGGCGUCUUGGCUAAGGUGUCUUGGCCAAUGUGUCUUGGCUAAGGUGUCUUGGCUAAUGUGUCUUGGCUAAUGUGUCUUGGCUAAGUUGUCUUGGCUAAGGUGUCUUGGCUAAUGUGUCUUGGCUAAUGUGUCUUGGCUAAGGUGUCUUGGUUAAUGUGUCUCGGCUAAUGUGUCUUGGCUAAUGUGUCUUGGCUAAGGUGUCUUGGCUAAUGUGUCUUGGCUAAGGUGUCUUGGCUAAGGUGUCUUGGCUAAGGUGUCUUGGCUAAUGUGUCUUGGCUAAUGUGUCUUGGCUAAUGUGUCUCGGCUAAAGUGUCUUGGCUAAUGUGUCUUGGCUAAGGUGUCUUGGCUAAGGUGUCUUGGCUAAGGUGUCUUGGCUAAGGUGUCUUGGCUAAGGUGUCUUGGCUAAUGUGUCUCGGCUAAUGUGUCUUGGCUAAUGUGUCUUGGCUAAGGUGUCUUUACUAAUGUGUCUUGGCUAAGUUGUCUUGGCUAAGGUGUCUUGGCUAAUGUGUCUUGGCUAAAGUGUCUUUGCUAAUGUGUCUUGGCUAAUGUGUCUUGGCUAAUGUGUCUUGGCUAAGGUGUCUUGGCUAUUGUGUCUUGGCUAAGGUGUCUUGGCUAAGGUGUCUUGGCUAAGGUGUCUUGGCUAAGGUGUCUUGGCUAAGGUGUCUUGGCUAAGGUGUCUUGGCUAAUGUGUCUCGGCUAAUGUGUCUUGGCUAAUGUGUCUUGGCUAAGGUGUCUUGGCUAAUGUGUCUUGGCUAAUGUGUCUUGGCUAAGGUGUCUUGGCUAAUGUGUCUUGGCUAAGGUGUCUUGGCUAAUGUGUCUUGGCUAAGGUGUCUUGGCUAAGGUGUCUUGGCUAAGGUGUCUUGGCUAAGGUGUCUUGGCUAAUGUGUCUCGGCUAAGGUGUCUUGGCUAAGGUGUCUUGGCUAAGAUGUCUUGGCUAAGGUGUCUUGGCUAAUGUGUCUCGGCUAAGGUGUCUUGGCUAAGGUGUCUUGGCUAAGGUGUCUUGGCUAAUGUGUCUCGGCUAAGGUGUCUUGGCUAAGGUGUCUUGGCUAAGGUGUCUUGGCUAAGGUGUCUUGGCUAAUGUGUCUCGGCUAAUGCGUCUUGGCUAAGGUGUCUUGGCUGAGGUGUCUUGGCUAAUGUGUCUUGGCUAAUGUGUCUUGGCUAAGGUGUCUUGGCUAAUGUGUCUUGGCUAAGGUGUCUUGGCUAAUGUGUCUUGGCUAAGGUGUCUUGGCUAAGGUGUCUUGGCUAAGGUGUCUUGGCUAAGGUGUCUUGGCUAAUGUGUCUCGGCUAAGGUGUCUUGGCUAAGGUGUCUUGGCUAAGAUGUCUUGGCUAAGGUGUCUUGGCUAAUGUGUCUCGGCUAAGGUGUCUUGGCUAAGGUGUCUUGGCUAAGGUGUCUUGGCUAAUGUGUCUCGGCUAAGGUGUCUUGGCUAAGGUGUCUUGGCUAAUGUGUCUCGGCUAAAGUGUCUUGGCUAAGGUGUCUUGGCUAAGGUGUCUUGGCUAAGGUGUCUUGGCUAAGGUGUCUUGGCUAAUGUGUCUUGGCUAAGGUGUCUUGGCUAAUGUGUCUUGGCUAAGUUGUCUUGGCUAAGGUGUCUUGGCUAAUGUGUCUUGGCUAAAGUGUCUUUGCUAAGGUGUCUUGGCUAAUGUGUCUUGGCUAAGGUGUCUUGGCUAAUGUGUCUUGGCUAAGGUGUCUUGGCUUAUGUGUCUUGGCUAAGGUGUCUUGGCUAAGGUGUCUUGGCUAAGGUGUCUUGGCUAAUGUGUCUCGGCUAAGAUGUCUUGGCUAAUGUGUCUCGG
Anopheles funestus (African malaria mosquito) is the source of this 4037-nucleotide long non-coding RNA. RefSeq lists it as uncharacterized. The transcript has 3 exons. The record is from RefSeq and is a predicted model, not a curated record. Lineage: Eukaryota; Metazoa; Arthropoda; Insecta; Diptera; Culicidae.